RNAcentral lists this ribosomal RNA (484 nucleotides) under uncultured bacterium. Its description in RNAcentral is "partial 16S ribosomal RNA". It matches the Rfam family "Bacterial small subunit ribosomal RNA", at positions 28 to 523 of the family's 1533-position model. The record is from RNAcentral.
GAUGAACGCUGGCGGCGUGCUUAACACAUGCAAGUCGAACGGUGAAGCAGGAGCUUGCUCUUGUGGAUCAGUGGCGAACGGGUGAGUAACACGUGAGCAACCUGCCCCUGACUCUGGGAUAAGCGCUAGAAACGGCGUCUAAUACUGGAUAUGUGAUGUGACCGCAUGGUCUGCAUCUGGAAAGAAUUUCGGUUGGGGAUGGGCUCGCGGCCUAUCAGCUUGUUGGUGAGGUAAUGGCUCACCAAGGCGUCGACGGGUAGCCGGCCUGAGAGGGUGACCGGCCACACUGGGACUGAGACACGGCCCAGACUCCGACGGGAGGCAGCAGUGGGGAAUAUUGCACAAUGGGCGGAAGCCUGAUGCAGCAACUCCGCGUGAGGGAUGACGGCCUUCGGGUUGUAAACCUCUUUUAGCAGGGAAGAAGCGAAAGUGACGGUACCUGCAGAAAAAGCACCGGCUAACUACGUGCCAGCCGCCGCGGUAA